AGAGUUUGAUCAUGGCUCAGGAUGAACGCUAGCGGCAGGCUUAAUACAUGCAAGUCGAGGGGCAGCACGAAUAGCAAUAUUUGGUGGCGACCGGCGCACGGGUGCGUAACACGUAUACAAUCUACCUUAAACAGGGGGAUAGCCUUUCGAAAGAGAGAUUAAUACCCCGUAAUAAAUUGAAUGGCAUCAUUUGAUUUUGAAAGCUCCGGCGGUUUGAGAUGAGUAUGCGUCUGAUUAGCUAGUUGGUGAGGUAACGGCUCACCAAGGCGACGAUCAGUAGGGGAUCUGAGAGGACUAACCCCCACACUGGUACUGAGACACGGACCAGACUCCUACGGGAGGCAGCAGUAAGGAAUAUUGGUCAAUGGAGGCAACUCUGAACCAGCCAUGCCGCGUGCAGGAUGACGGCCCUAUGGGUUGUAAACUGCUUUUAUACAAGAGAAAACCCUGGUACGUGUACCAGGUUGAUAGUAUCGUAAGAAUAAGCAUCGGCUAACUUCGUGCCAGCAGCCGCGGUAAGACGAAGGAUGCAAGCGUUAUCCGGAUUCAUUGGGUUUAAAGGGUGCGUAGGCGGACUUGUAAGUCAGUGGUGAAAUCUCUUUGCUUUAACAAAGAAACUGCCAUUGAUACUGCAGGUCUAGAGUAUAGAUGACGUUGGCCGGAAUAUGACAUGUAGUGGGUGAAAUACUUA
Molecule: ribosomal RNA, 691 nt
Filed under: uncultured bacterium
Lineage: Bacteria
Description: bacterial SSU rRNA
Rfam family: Bacterial small subunit ribosomal RNA
Source: RNAcentral